CCCGUACCUGUUCGAAUCUCUUCCCGCAGAUACUACAGGCCUCGGGCUAGAUCUGCUCUCUAUCGUAACCUCUCCUCUCUCACCUAUCCCACCCGCUCCACACAUGUCCAGCACAACGUCACAGGAGGUCUCUGGAACUGCCAGUCAGCGACUCGCAAGGCAGACUUCAUCUCCGGCUUUGCUAUCCAGCAGUCACUUGACUUUCUCGCUCUCACCGAGACCUGGAUCACACCUGAGAACACAUCCACCCCAGCCGCUCUCUCCUCCGCCUUCUCCUUCAGCCACACUCCCAGGCUCCCUAGGUCAUUUCUUGGAAGAACUGGACAUUCUCCUGUCUAAUUUCUCUGAAAAUGAACCCCCGCUCAUCCUCCUGGGUGACUUCAACAUCCAGACAGAGAAGUCAUCUGACCUCUUACACCUACUUUCUUCUUUCGCUCUGUCACUCAGUCCCUCUCCUCCUACUCACAAAGCCGGCAAUCACCUUGACUACAUCUUUAUUAGAAACUGCUCUACCACUAACCUCUCUGUAACUCCACUUUAUGUGUCUGAUCACUUCUUCAUCUCUUACUCCCUUCCACUCUCUAUAACUAACAAACCUCCCUCAUUGACUGACUCUGUACCUGUUUGUCGCAAUAUUCGCUCCCUCUCUCCCUCCUCGCUGGCAUCCUCUGUUCUAUCAGCUCUCCCUUCAACUGAUUCCUUCUCACUCUUGCAUCCGAACGCUGCUGCACAGACUCUCCUCUCAACUCGUUCCUCCUCUCUAGACUCUCUCUGCCCUCUUACGACACGACGGACUGGCAAAUCCCCUCCGGGCCUUCUCUAUGUGGUUUUCUCCCGGUGCUCGGGUUUUCAAAAAAUGUUAUUUCAUGUUUUAUCUGUUUGUGUCAUAGGAAGCUCGCCCAUGAAUAAUCGUGUAAGUCAGCGGUCGGGAACCUAUGGCUCUUCCGGUGACUGCAUAUGGCUCCCAGUUGAAAAAAAAAAAAAAAAUCAGUUUGGAACUGAUUUUAAAAUACUUAAACAAAAAUAGACGUUUACUGUGCAUUUCAGGCUGUGUGGACAGAGGAAUUUGCACUUGUGGACAGAGCAGGAUCUGCGGUAUGUCUAAUAUGCAAUCAUAAAAUUGCAUCGAUGAAACGGUCAAAGAUAAAGCGGCACUUCGAUACGCACCAUGCUUCAUUCGCAUCGAAAUAUCCAGAGUGUCUCAUGAGUGUGCAGUGACAAUUACCGACCUGACAUCCAUCUACGGCGGCAAAUCCCUGUCAAAAUUCGAGAGCGCAAAUCGAGUUGAUGCGCGCGCGUAAAUCAAACAUCCGCGAGCAAAAGUUUGUCCCCCGCGAGAUACUUGCUCGCUUGCGGAACGUGAACUUUGUUGCUCGCGAGGUUAACCUCUGCUCGUGCUCGAAGGUGUUUUCUAUGGUUGCUUAUGCUUAUGAAGUCACAUAAGCAUUAUCAGAAACAAACAACAGACAGGUUGAGCAGACACAUUUUGACCAGAAAAUACCCAGGGCCCAAUAGGUGUAUGUAACCACCCCCACACAAAAGCAUCUAUUUAGGUAUUUGGGGGAAUUUUUAAACAACUUUGUUGCAGUACGUGGUUACAGAGAGUUUUAGAUACUCUUGUCUACAAGGAUCCUAUUUUGCCACCCUGAGCGACGAUGGAACACCUUGGUGGUGAGUAGUGUGUUUUAUUGUUGAUUACGUGUUUUAGUAAAACAAGCAUUAUACUUACAAGUAUAUAUUCAUUAAGGUUUCUCAACGAUAUGACAGUCCAGAGGGGGGUUAACCAUCUAAAGCAUCGAUGAGGU
This is a long non-coding RNA of Gasterosteus aculeatus aculeatus (three-spined stickleback), 1805 nucleotides long. The record is from Ensembl. NCBI's taxonomy places the organism in Eukaryota, Metazoa, Chordata, Actinopteri, Perciformes, Gasterosteidae.